Molecule: long non-coding RNA, 509 nt
Organism: Gallus gallus (chicken)
Lineage: Eukaryota; Metazoa; Chordata; Aves; Galliformes; Phasianidae
Source: Ensembl
GCAGUGGGGUGGAUAUUCUGAUGUCUCCUUGAAGAUAAGGAAGCCAAAUGCCUGCUGGAGCGAGCUGACUGAGGGAUUGCUGCUGGAUGGGCCAUAGCACCGUCUCCAUCUGCAGAUCUGGGAAACUCCUGGCAACAGUGUGCCAUUAUACAGAGAUGCCUCGGGAGCCAAACGUCUCCUCUGACACUGUUGGCUGCGUGCCCUGGAAUCUGUUGGUGGCAUGACAAGAACCACCAUUCUUGGCUGGAAGUGACACGUGAAGGCAAGCAGGGAAGAAGACACCUGAAGGGAACCUUUUUGGCUCAUAUUUCGGGUUCUUGGGCAUCCCCACAGCACCCUACAUGCCCUGGCCUCGCAGGCUUCCAUCUUUCCCCAUCAUGGCUCAUGGUCGACCAUCAGUCAACCGUUGGUCACUGGCUUUCUUGGGUACAAGGGCACACUGCUGGCUUGUGGUCAACUGUUGGCCAACCAUUGGUCACCCGGGACCUCCAGGUCCUUCUCCACUGAGC